UACAGAGGGUGCGAGCGUUACUCGGAAUUACUGGGCGUAAAGCGUGCGUAGACGGUUAUUUAAGUCGGGUGUGAAAGCCCCGGGCUCAACCUGGGAAUUGCAUUCGAGACUGAAUAGCUAGGGUACGGUAGAGGGAAGCGGAAUUUCCGGUGUAGCGGUGAAAUGCGUAGAUAUCGGAAGGAACAUCAGUGGCGAAAGCGACUUCCUGGACCAAUACUGACGCUCAUGUGCGAAAGCGUGGGGAGCAAACAGG
Molecule: ribosomal RNA, 253 nt
Filed under: uncultured bacterium
Lineage: Bacteria
Description: partial 16S ribosomal RNA
Rfam family: Bacterial small subunit ribosomal RNA
Source: RNAcentral